RNAcentral lists this unclassified non-coding RNA (337 nucleotides) under soil metagenome. RNAcentral's name for it is "partial contains 5.8S ribosomal RNA, internal transcribed spacer 2, and large subunit ribosomal RNA". The stretch from base 1 to 120 matches the Rfam family "5.8S ribosomal RNA", at positions 35 to 154 of the family's 154-position model. The record is from RNAcentral.
GAUGAAGAACGCAGCGAAAUGCGAUAUGUAGUGUGAAUUGCAGAAUUCAGUGAAUCAUCGAAUCUUUGAACGCACAUUGCGCCCCAUGGUAUUCCGUGGGGCAUGCCUGUUCGAGCGUCAUUUACCCCCUCAAGCUCCGCUUGGUGUUGGGCGUCUGUCCCGCUUCGCGCGCGGACUCGCCCCAAAGGUAUUGGCAGCGGUCAUGCCAGCUUCUCGCGCAGCACAUUGCGCUUCUCGAGGCACCGGCGGGCCCGCGUCCAUCAAGCUCACCCCCCCAGUUUGACCUCGGAUCAGGUAGGGAUACCCGCUGAACUUAAGCAUAUCAAUAAGCGGAGGA